AUUGAACGCUGGCGGCAGGCCUAACACAUGCAAGUCGAACGGUAACAGGAAGCAGCUUGCUGCUUUGCUGACGAGUGGCGGACGGGUGAGUAAUGUCUGGGAAACUGCCCGAUGGAGGGGGAUAACUACUGGAAACGGUAGCUAAUACCGCAUAACGUCGCAAGACCAAAGAGGGGGACCUUAGGGCCUCUUGCCAUCGGAUGUGCCCAGAUGGGAUUAGCUAGUAGGUGGGGUAACGGCUCACCUAGGCGACGAUCCCUAGCUGGUCUGAGAGGAUGACCAGCCACACUGGAACUGAGACGCGGUCCAGACUCCUACGGGAGGCAGCAGUGGGGAAUAUUGCACAAUGGGCGCAAGCCUGAUGCAGCCAUGCCGCGUGUAUGAAGAAGGCCUUCGGGUUGUAAAGUACUUUCAGCGGGGAGGAAGGGAGUAAAGUUAAUACCUUUGCUCAUUGACGUUACCCGCAGAAGAAGCACCGGCUAACUCCGUG
RNAcentral lists this ribosomal RNA (490 nucleotides) under uncultured bacterium. RNAcentral's name for it is "partial 16S ribosomal RNA". It matches the Rfam family "Bacterial small subunit ribosomal RNA", at positions 30 to 507 of the family's 1533-position model. The record is from RNAcentral.